Molecule: long non-coding RNA, 948 nt
Filed under: Homo sapiens (human)
Lineage: Eukaryota; Metazoa; Chordata; Mammalia; Primates; Hominidae
Description: long non-coding RNA NONHSAT151761.1
Source: RNAcentral
GGCACUGUGCUAGACUCAGGCAAUACAAGGAUGGACAAGAAAGAAAGCAUCCCUGCCUUCAUGAAACUCACAGUCUGAAGUCAAUAAACAAGAAUUUCAGGAAGAAGCAUGCAAUUUUUGGUAAUUCAAUGAAAUAUAAAGAUGAAUCAGAAGUCCGGUAUAGAAUGCAUCAUCCAUUGGUUCUGGAUUUAACAUACAAAAUCCGUAAAAGAACUGAAAUGUUCUGAAGCUUGAAUCUCUCUCAUGCAGUUAUUCUGUUGGAUGAAGUGGCAUUUCAAAUUUGCUCACUCAGAUUUGGGACAUUAGUCUCAUUCUGAAGCACACCAAUGCUUCCAGAACUACCAGCAUGCUGUAAUGAAAGGUACCGCCAUGAGACUUGAAGAAGUAUCUGACUUUGUCCCAAAAUCUAUCUGAAUAAGAAAAACGGACAAACAAAAAGAUAAGGAGAAGAAAGAGGAAACAAAAGCUAAAAGGUUCACCUUAACUUUCCCAGCAUUUUCGUCAUCUUCUUUUUUGUCUUCAAAUUCAAAGGCAACAGUCAUGCGUUGUUGUCUCUGCUCUUCCCACAGUGUAGGGUUAAAGCUGUCACUGUCUGACUGGAAAUCUACAGUUAGAUUCCAAAGUAUUAUUGUUUUUUUAAAAAACAAUUUUACACAAAGUAUUUAAUAUAGUAUGCAAAAAUGGUGAUAGAUACUACAAACAAAUACGGAAAUAAAGAAGAAAGAAAGAAAAAAAGAAAGAGAAAGAAGGAAAGAGAAAAGAAUAAAAUUCCCUUGAUAUUUAUUGGCUAGUAACACAGUCAGAAGAGGAAGCAAGGUUGGUUUGACAUGACUUGCUCUUGAUGCAUAAAGCUUUGGUGCUUCCUUGUCACCUGAUACUAUAAAUAACAUUCCAAACUUUUUAAUAAAAUGUUUUAUUCCCUUAUGUGGGAAUAUUAUUAACUAGUAA